Molecule: ribosomal RNA, 344 nt
Filed under: uncultured bacterium
Lineage: Bacteria
Description: partial 16S ribosomal RNA
Rfam family: Bacterial small subunit ribosomal RNA
Source: RNAcentral
CCUACGGGAGGCAGCAGUGGGGAAUAUUGCGCAAUGGGGGAAACCCUGACGCAGCAACGCCGCGUGAGUGAAGACGUAUCUCGGUAUGUAAGGCUCUAUCAGCGCGGAAGAAGGACGCGGGUCGCCGACUAAGAAGCACCGGCCAAACACGUGCCAGCAGCCGCGGUAAUACGCAGGGGGCGCGCGUUAUCCGGAUUUACGGGGUGUAAGGGGAGCGUAGGCGGCGUCGCAAGUCUGAAGUGAAAGCCCGGGGCUCAACCGCGGAACCGCUUUGGAAACUGCGAGGCUGGAGUGCUGGAGAGGUAAGCGGAAUGCCUGGUGUAGCAGUGAAAUGCGUAGAGAUC